CAAGAGCCUCGAAAAGGGCCUUCGAAC
This 27-nucleotide ribosomal RNA is filed under the name Coprosma pilosa. Its description in RNAcentral is "partial 26S ribosomal RNA". The record is from RNAcentral. Lineage: Eukaryota; Viridiplantae; Streptophyta; Magnoliopsida; Gentianales; Rubiaceae.